GUCCACAUAGCUUACCACGAAA
RNAcentral lists this transfer RNA (22 nucleotides) under Anas carolinensis (green-winged teal). Its description in RNAcentral is "partial tRNA-Phe". The record is from RNAcentral. Lineage: Eukaryota; Metazoa; Chordata; Aves; Anseriformes; Anatidae. RNAcentral also lists the same sequence under 4 other names.